Molecule: transfer RNA, 73 nt
Filed under: Enhygromyxa salina
Lineage: Bacteria; Pseudomonadati; Myxococcota; Nannocystales; Nannocystaceae
Description: tRNA-Met
Rfam family: tRNA
About the family: Transfer RNA (tRNA) molecules are approximately 80 nucleotides in length. Their secondary structure includes four short double-helical elements and three loops (D, anti-codon, and T loops).
Source: RNAcentral
GCUGGGGUGGCCGAGAGGCGAGGCACCGGACUCAUGAUCCGGCUCACGCGGGUUCGACUCCCGCCCCCAGUAC